Molecule: ribosomal RNA, 601 nt
Filed under: uncultured Actinomycetes bacterium
Lineage: Bacteria; Bacillati; Actinomycetota; Actinomycetes
Description: bacterial SSU rRNA
Rfam family: Bacterial small subunit ribosomal RNA
Source: RNAcentral
GAGAGGUAACGGCUCACCAAGGCAUCGACGGGUAGCUGGUCUGGGAGGAUGAUCAGCCACACUGGAACUGAGACACGGUCCAGACUCCUACGGGAGGCAGCAGGAGGGAAUAUUGCGCAAUGGGCGAAAGCCUGACGCAGCAACGCCGCGUGAGGGAUGACUGCCUUCGGGUUGUAAACCUCUUUCAGUGGGGACGAAAUUGACGGUACCCACAGAAGAAGCACCGGCCAACUACGUGCCAGCAGCCGCGGUAAUACGUAGGGUGCAAGCAUUGUCCGGAUUUAUUGGGCGUAAAGAGCUCGUAGGCGGCUUAACAAGUCGGCCGUGAAAUACCGAGGCUCAACCUCGGGGAGUCGGUCGAAACUGUUAUAGCUAGAGUACGGUAGAGGAGAGUGGAAUUCUCGGUGUAGCGGUGGAAUGCGCAGAUAUCGAGAGGAACACCAGUAGCGAAGGCGGCUCUCUGGGCCGUUACUGACGCUGAGGAGCGAAAGCGUGGGGAGCAAACAGGAUUAGAUACCCUGGUAGUCCACGCUGUAAACGUUGGGAACUAGGUGUUGCGGUCUGAUCAAUGACUGCGGUGCCGAAGCUAACGCAUUAAGUU